Molecule: transfer RNA, 731 nt
Filed under: uncultured cyanobacterium
Lineage: Bacteria; Bacillati; Cyanobacteriota
Description: partial miscellaneous RNA
Rfam family: tRNA (bases 260-332)
Source: RNAcentral
CAGGGAGACAAAAAAUCGAUCAUGAUGUUUGAGUUAUUUAAUCUCAGGCCUUGAUCCUGUCACCUUAGGUCGAUCGGUACCUCAAAUUAAUUUCAAUGACAAGCUUUUAGCUGAUUUAUUGAGUUUGGUUUUAGUUCCUAAACUUGUCUAGGUCACACCCCACAAGGGUUACUCCUGGGCCAUUAGCUCAGGUGGUUAGAGCGCACCCCUGAUAAGGGUGAGGUCCCUGGUUCAAGUCCAGGAUGGCCCAUUCGGUGUUGGGGGUAUAGCUCAGUUGGUAGAGCGCCUGCUUUGCAAGCAGGAUGUCAGCGGUUCGAGUCCGCUUACCUCCACUGACCGCCCCCUUUAUGAACCCAUUUGUGAGUACCUUGUGAAAUGUGAUUUAGAAAAGCUGAUAGAACCUAGCUUCUUAUCAUUCCAAAAUUUCAUGCAAAACAUCCUUUGCAUGAAUGAGGUUGGCAAGACGCUGGGCUCAUUGGAUUUUUAAGUUAAAUCCAAUUUUGUUCGGCAGAACCUUGACAACUGCAUAGGUGAGUCUGGAAAAGAUAAAAGCAUCUCAUGGACGCAUAAUUUCUGUUUUCUGAAAACAAAAUUAUGUUUAAAUUCUUGAGAAGAACAGAGACUCUAAGCAAUCUUUCUUUGGUUUACCAUUGAGAGUUUGAUUAAUAAUUCAAACCUUGAAUUAUUAAGAAUGCGUAUUCAACUACGUUAGUUGUUUUAGAGAAUUAUUU